CCUACGGGGGGCAGCAGUGGGGAAUAUUGGACAAUGGGGGGAACCCUGAUCCAGCCAUGCCGCGUGUGUGAAGAAGGCCCUCGGGUUGUAAAGCACUUUCAGUGAGGAAGAACGCCUGGUGGUUAAUACCCAUCAGGAAAGACAUCACUCACAGAAGAAGCACCGGCUAACUCCGUGCCAGCAGCCGCGGUAAUACGGAGGGUGCGAGCGUUAAUCGGAAUUACUGGGCGUAAAGCGCGCGUAGGUGGCUUGAUAAGCCGGUUGUGAAAGCCCCGGGCUCAACCUGGGAACGGCAUCCGGAACUGUCAAGCUAGAGUGCAGGAGAGGAAGGUAGAAUUGCCGGUGUAGCGGUGAAAUGCGUAGAGAUCGGGAGGAAUACCAGUGGCGAAGGCGGCCUUCUGGACUGACACUGACACUGAGGUGCGAAAGCGUGGGUAGCAAACAGGAUUAGAUACCCUUGUAGUC
This 465-nucleotide ribosomal RNA is filed under the name Vreelandella stevensii. RNAcentral's name for it is "partial 16S ribosomal RNA". It matches the Rfam family "Bacterial small subunit ribosomal RNA", at positions 338 to 795 of the family's 1533-position model. Lineage: Bacteria; Pseudomonadati; Pseudomonadota; Gammaproteobacteria; Oceanospirillales; Halomonadaceae. The record is from RNAcentral.